GACGAACGCUGGCGGCGUGCCUAAUACAUGCAAGUCGAGCGAAGUUUUUCUGGUGCUUGCUCUAGAAAAACUUAGCGGCGAACGGGUGAGUAACACGUAAAGAACCUGCCUCAUAGACUGGGACAACUAUUGGAAACGAUAGCUAAUACCGGAUAACAGUAUUUCUCGCAUGAGAGAUAUUUAAAAGUUGGUUAUGCUAACACUAUGAGAUGGCUUUGCGGUGCAUUAGCUAGUUGGUGGGGUAAAGGCCCACCAAGGCGACGAUGGAUAGCCGACCUGAGAGGGUGAUCGGCCACACGGGGACUGAGACACGGCCCAGACUCCUACGGGAGGCAGCAGUAGGGAAUGUUCCGUAAUGGGGGAAAGCCUGACGGAGCAACGCCGCGUGAGUGAAGAAGGAUUUCGGUUCGUAAAGCUCUGUUGUUAGGGAAGAAUGGAUAUGGAGUAACUAUACAUGUAAGAGACGGUACCUAACCAGAAAGCCACGGCUAACUACGUG
RNAcentral lists this ribosomal RNA (499 nucleotides) under uncultured bacterium. Its description in RNAcentral is "partial 16S ribosomal RNA". It matches the Rfam family "Bacterial small subunit ribosomal RNA", at positions 28 to 507 of the family's 1533-position model. The record is from RNAcentral.